Molecule: ribosomal RNA, 482 nt
Filed under: uncultured bacterium
Lineage: Bacteria
Description: partial 16S ribosomal RNA
Rfam family: Bacterial small subunit ribosomal RNA
Source: RNAcentral
AUUGAACGCUGGCGGCAUGCCGUACACAUGCAAGUCGAACGGUAACGGGCCUUCGGGUGCCGACGAGUGGCGCACGGGUGAGUAAUACAUCGGAACGUGCCCGAUCGUGGGGGAUAACGAGGCGAAAGCUUUGCUAAUACCGCAUACGAUCUACGGAUGAAAGCAGGGGACCGCAAGGCCUUGCGCGGACGGAGCGGCCGAUGGCAGAUUAGGUAGUUGGUGGGAUAAAAGCUUACCAAGCCGACGAUCUGUAGCUGGUCUGAGAGGAUGAUCAGCCACACUGGGACUGAGACACGGCCCAGACUCCUACGGGAGGCAGCAGUGGGGAAUUUUGGACAAUGGGCGCAAGCCUGAUCCAGCCAUGCCGCGUGCAGGAUGAAGGCCUUCGGGUUGUAAACUGCUUUUGUACGGAACGAAAAGCCUUCUUUUAAUACAGGAGGGUCAUGACGGUACCGUAAGAAUAAGCACCGGCUAACUACGUG